CAAUAGCGUAUAUUCAAGUUGUUGCAGUUAAAAAGCUCGUAGUUGGAUUUCUGGUUGAAGCGACCGGUCGGGCGUUGAUUCGUCUGCACUGGAGUCGGUUUUGGCCAUCCUCUAGGAAAGUGCGUCUGGUAUUAAGUUAUCGGGCGUAUGAUCCUGGUCUUUUACUGUGAAAAAAUUAGAGUGUUUAAAGCAGGCCUUCGCCUUGAAUACAUUAGCAUGGAAUAAUAAGAUAGGACUUUGGUCUAUUUUGUUGGUUUGCAGACCGAAGUAAUGAUUAAUAGGGAUAGUUGGGGGUAUUUAUAUUCCGAUGUCAGAGGUGAAAUUCUUAGAUUUUCGGAAGAUAAACUUAUGCGAAAGCAUUUACCAAGGAUGUUUUCAUUAA
Molecule: ribosomal RNA, 382 nt
Filed under: uncultured eukaryote
Lineage: Eukaryota
Description: partial 18S ribosomal RNA
Rfam family: Eukaryotic small subunit ribosomal RNA
Source: RNAcentral